CCAGCCUGCUGAGAGAGGUCGAGCAGUGCUGCCAUACAAGGAAGGGUUGAGUCAAAGAGGUCACUGUCCACCAAGUGUGCAGCAGCAGCAGCUUGUUGUAACACUGUGCUGAUGAGGUCAGUUCACUCACUUCUACUUUAUGGGGCCCAGACUCUAUAAUUAGGCAGCUCAGAAAUGGUUUCCUGCUGAGUCUUAGGCACCACACCCCCAUACAUCCAGGCUACCCACGUAAGAGUUUACAAUAUGCCAUCCACUGCAGUGGAUGACUGCAACUAGAAAUACAUCUAUCAUAACCUCACAGGUGUACCCCGCCUCUCGUCUAAUGACGGCUAGAGAUAGACACCAGCCCCCAUGUGACCCUACAAGGAUAAGUGGGUGCGAGCGAUUGAUGGACAGAUGGAUGGACGGACGGAUGGAUGGAUGAACAGACGGACAGACAGACGAUGGAAAAGCCAGUGAGGGAAUGACCCUCUCCUGGGCGAUGCAUUGGAGGAUCCUGGGUGCUCCGUACAAGCCGCCCAUGCACGAAGCCAGGGAGGAGAUGUACAGGCCCAGGAGAAAGAGGAAACCCACCAAGGAGACC
Molecule: long non-coding RNA, 583 nt
Organism: Girardinichthys multiradiatus
Lineage: Eukaryota; Metazoa; Chordata; Actinopteri; Cyprinodontiformes; Goodeidae
Exons: 4
Source: RefSeq, a predicted model, not a curated record